Non-coding RNA from Pelobates cultripes (western spadefoot toad), 167 nucleotides. The record is from the annotation of a GenBank genome assembly. Lineage: Eukaryota; Metazoa; Chordata; Amphibia; Anura; Pelobatidae.
GCAGACACAUUCCAGCCAAUCAGCAGCAGACCCUCCCUCCCAGACCCUCCCACCUCCUGGACAGCAUCCAUUUUACAUUCAUUGUGAAGCUGCAUUCUUAGUGAGCUGUCCAGGAGGUGGGAGGGUCUGGGAGGGAGGGUCUGCUGCUGAUUGGCUAGAAUGUGUCA